RNAcentral lists this long non-coding RNA (261 nucleotides) under Trifolium pratense (red clover). RNAcentral's name for it is "long non-coding RNA (TPRA_LNC002011)". Lineage: Eukaryota; Viridiplantae; Streptophyta; Magnoliopsida; Fabales; Fabaceae. The record is from RNAcentral.
UUCACCAACGUUUCCCACCAGCCUUUUAUAUUAUCAAUCAAAAAGAAAAUUACAACACAAAAUAUGAACUAUGAACACCAAUUUCAUACAUGGAUUACAUGAGAGCAACUAAAUGAUGAGUUAAAUUUUGUAAAGUUCUCAAAGCUACAAAUUUAAAAAUAAAAAGAAAAACAUAUUUCACAAGUAUAUGCGUUAGAACAAAUUAGAAGAACUAAUUAACGCUUUCCCUUGUAGGCACAACUCUAAAAAUCAGCUCCAAAU